CCACCCACAUUGUUAAAUAUUGUUUGUGUUGUUUUGGCCGGACAUAUGAAAAGUCUUGAAGGCAACGUUUUAGAUUUAGAUACUAUUAACCUUCCUGAAUUCAAAUGCCAUUUUCCUCCACUAACAUGUGCACACACCUACACACACUCCCCACCUACACACACACAAAACACAUAUUCUGACACACAACAGUGUUUAUAGUAAAAGGUCACAGCUGAAAUGUUGAGCACACAAUCUGCUCUUACUAUGAAAGACUUUUUUUAAUCAUUUAAAUGCUUUAUAAAUAACUGCCCGUGUCCUAGUUUUAAACAGAUACAGACAUGUGCGUGCAACAUUAACCUCAGGACUCUAGGUAUAGAACGCUAAAGAACGCAAAAGAUAAAAAGGACCAGGCCUGAAGUUGUUCCUUUUUAAAGAAGUGGUGAAAAUGCCCUCUGAACGAUGUAGCUUCACUUUUAAAUGUCACUGCACUAAAGGUUUGUUUUCUACAAAUGUGCCAAGAUAAGACUGCCUCAAUCCUCAAGAUAUUUAAGGGAAAUAAAUGCUCUAAUGCCCUUUCA
This is a long non-coding RNA of Tachysurus vachellii, 560 nucleotides long. RefSeq lists it as uncharacterized. NCBI's taxonomy places the organism in Eukaryota, Metazoa, Chordata, Actinopteri, Siluriformes, Bagridae. The transcript is spliced from 2 exons. The record is from RefSeq and is a predicted model, not a curated record.